Molecule: non-coding RNA, 5267 nt
Organism: Phoenix dactylifera (date palm)
Lineage: Eukaryota; Viridiplantae; Streptophyta; Magnoliopsida; Arecales; Arecaceae
Source: RefSeq, a predicted model, not a curated record
CGGUUCCGCCUUACCCAGUCCUUGUUGUCGGCAAUCGUAGCCGACUCUUUAAAAGAAAGGAACGGAUGGCCUGGGCCAGUACCCGUCCCUUGUUUUUCCUCGUCUCCUCGCUCGCCGGAGCUGCGAUCCCACGACGGGUGUGCCAUAUAAGGGCUAUUAUGUGGCGUGCUGGGGCGAAGCUCGCUGCUCUCACCCUUCUUGGUGGAGCAGGGGCCGCAGCCAUCGCUACCUCUGACGAUCCCUCAAGCACUUUCAAGAUUUGCACUAUCGUUCCCCUUCGCCUCAAAAAGAAAGAAACGGAAGGCCUCUGCCCAUACCCGUCCCUUGUUUUUCCUCGUCUCCUCGCUCGCCGGAGCUGCGAUCGCACGACGGGUGUGCCAUAUAAGGGCUAUUAUGUGGCGCGCUGGGGCGAAGCUCGCUGCUCCCACCCUUCUUGGCGGAGCAGGGGCCGCAGCCAUCGCUACCUCUGACGAUCCCUCAAGCACUUUCAAGAUUUGCACUAUCAUUCCCCUUCGCCUCAAAAAGAAAGGAACGGAAGGCCUCGGCCAAUAGCCGUCCCUUGUUUUUCCUCAUCUCCUCGCUCGCCGGAGCUGCGAUCCCACGACGGGUGUGCCAUAUAAGGGCUAUUAAGUGGCGGCUGGGGCGAAGCCCGCUGCCCUCACCCUUCUUGGCAGAGCAGGGGCCGCAGCCAUCACUACCUCUGACGAUCCCUCAAGCACUUUCAAGAUUUGCACUAUCGUUCCCCUUCGCCUCAUCGGCGACUCCAUCACCGCUGCUACCAUGGCCUUCGACUAUCAGUAUUCAUUAUGGGGGCUUAAAGAAGGAAGUGUUGAAUGGUUGAGAGCCAAGCAUGAAGUCCAUAAUCAGUUUGCUUAUAGGCUUCAAGAGUUAUGCUUCCAUAGUGGAGGAAUUUACAUCAAGCUUGGUCAACAUAUUGGUCAAUUGGAAUAUAUAGUUCCUCAAGAAUACGUACAAACAAUGAGGGCCUCAAUGCUGAAGAGAUGUCCAGUUUCCUCUUGUGAUCAAGUGCGAAGUGUAUUUGUGAAAGAGCUUGGGGCCACCAGAGAAAAUUUUUGCAGAAUUUGAUCCAAUUCCACUGGCAAGUGCUUCUCUUGCGCAAGUUCAUGCUGCUAAAACUCAUGAUGGCGAAAAGUCUCUCUGUAAAGGUUGUCUUCUGAGCUAUGCAAGGGCUUAAUUAUGUUAAUGUCCAGGUUCAACACACUCACUUGAUGGAUACUGCCAUUGCAGAUAUUGCUACUGUGGGUUUGGUAGUGAAUUUCUUGCACUGGUUCUUUCCUGCUUUUGAUUAUAGAAAUCCUCGCUUUCAGCUGAAACAUUCUCAAUGCCAUAAGAUGGGCCUUCAUCUGCAUCAGUGCACUGCCGAAUGCCUAAGGUUGUAGCACAUGCUUGCAACAUAGCUUGGAUGUGAGAUGAUUUUUGAUAGAUGUCAUAUCAUCAUGCUUGUGGUCAAAACCUUCUUCUCAUAUCUGAUAUGCUGGGGAGAGCAUCAGUCUUGGAACUUAAUUUUUAAUCCAAAAACAUGACGGACAGAGAAAAAAAUAAAGAUGGAAAGAAAGGCAGAGAAAUCCUUUCUUUCUUUCAACAGCCACAUACAAUGCUUUCAUCCAGUGACCUCUCUUACAAGCAAACUAGGAUUCUUCAAAUUGGAAAGUACCUAGAGAAAUCAGCUACCACCUAUUCAUUUAACUCCAAUUAAAAUCCCCAGAACCAUGCUUUAAAUUUUAUCUAAGAUUUUCUAGCUGGACACUAAGGAGACCUAACUAAAACUCCUAAAUGAAAAGUCAUGUAUGCUAUUCACUUUUGACAGUAUUGUAGCAUGUACAGUGCCAAACAGUAGAUUCGUUUUCUUACAAAGAAACACUUCAAUUAAUUAUUAAAUACUAAAACAAUUCAAAAUAGUUGUCUUUUUUUGUCAUCUUGACCUCUAAAUAGCAACCAGUCACGACAUAUGCCAUGGAUAUGGAUGCAAAGAAAUGCUCCAGCAUCAUUUGCUUCUGUUAUGCUUACCUGGUCCUCAAGAUCAUAUCCCUUAAAAUUUUGAUCGACCAUUCUGAGUCUUGAACAUUGGAUGAUAGAGGCCUAUGUAGAACAUUCUCCCUAUCACUUCAUUAAUCAUUUGUUGUGGUGCCCGACAAUUGGUAACUAUGAAUCUUUUGAUAACUUGAUUGAUAGUGUUUACCAAGGAAACUGCAGAAUUAGCAAGGAUCAUAUCUUCAACGUGCUUUGAUCCAGUUAUAGGUCUUAAUUGGUGUUGCUUUCAGCAAUUAGAAAUUCCUUUAAAAUUAUUUCUAUAGAGCCUUCAGUCUUCUUAACCAGAUUUUUUAAGCUGGUGCAUUUUCAAUCUUAGCAUCUAAAUUUGAAGGAUGAGCACUUGCGUGAUUUUCAAUGUAGAAAUCCUCGCUUUCAGCUGAAACAUUCUCACUGCCAUAAGAUGGGCCUUCAUCUGCAUCAGUGCACUGCCGAAUGCCUAAGGUUGUAGCACAUGCUUGCAACAUAGCUUGGAUGUGAGAUGAUUUUUGAUAGAUGUCAUAUCAUCAUGCAUGUGGUCAAAACCUUCUUCUCAUAUUUGAUAUGCUGGGGAGAGCAUCAGUCUUGGAACUUAAUUUUUAAUCCAAAAACUUGACGGAGAGAGAAAAAAAUAAAGAUGGAAAGAAUGGCAGAGAAAGGUAGGGUCCAUCAGUUCUAAUGCCAAAAUUGAUGUAGGACAGAUUAAGGAUGGCUUACAGGCAUAGCUGGACCUGUGGAAGGGAUUAGACAAGGGUUUAGGUCAAGAGAUCUCCCUGCUGUCCUGUUAUAGAAAACAGGACAGAAAAAGUUCAAGGAAGCACAAAAUUUUUGUUUUAGGUUUUUAGAUGAGAUAUAUGUCCACAAGUUUUUCAAGAAAACUUGUCAUGGGGUUGCUUCAUACUUGUCCUAUAACAGAAAUUUGGAUUGCAAAUUUUAUUGAUAUAAAAAAAGGAUGGAAGUGUCGUUUAGAAAGAGCAAAAACAGUGAUUGGAGAUGAUAAAAGAGAGAUCAAGAAGAAAAGGAUGGUGGUGUGUAAAUAGUUUAGAAGUGUGAGCUAUUUAUACAUCAAAAAUCAUGUGAUUUAAAGACUCCAGCCCAUGCAUCAAGUGAUGUUUAACUAGUUUAGAAGUAAUAGAUUACGUCCAACAGCUCAAAUCAUUGAUGUAGGACCUUCAUCAUCCAAUAUAAGCCUAAAUGGUUCUGAGUAGAGAUCCAUUCAAGCAUAGCUAAGUCUAUCUAAAUCAUAUGAAAGAAAAAACAGAUGGAUCAUAGAAUGUCAUACCAGUCCAAACUGGGCGGUACAGAGUGUACCGUACUGGUUUGGUGCUGAUAUUUGGUACGGGUGGCAUACUGAUACUCGGUACGCUAAAAAACCUCUGUACUGUACCGAUAUUUUAUUAGUGCGGCACUGAUACGGGGUCCGAUAUCGAAACGACGAACCUUGAGAUGGAUGACAACCUUUUUUUCUUCAAUAAAAUUCUACGGAUGGCUUGUUAAUGGUUUGUUUCUACAUCAACCAUUACUCUUUAAUUGCAACAAAUAUAAAAGAUAAUCAUGGAUUAUCUAUUUCUUGAGAGCUUGUAAAUAAAAUAUAUGUAUAAAUAAUAAAAUUAUAUAUAUUCAUUCUUUCAUUUUUAUCAAGGGAAAAGGAUUGAUAGUUAUAAAAAUAAUUAAUUAUUAAAUAGAAAGUACCAUCCUAAUUAUUCUAUUUAAUGAUAGGACUGAGAUUUAAAUAUGUAAAAUAAACCAUACCUGCAUAACAGGAUUGAAUGUUGUACCCUGGUGGUUUGUUGUCCAAGUAACAUGCCACAAGUACGAUUCUACGCAUGGGAAUAAAAUUAUUUUGGGACAAUAUUUUACUGGAAUUUACCAGAUAUCUAGAUCUGGAUUCGGAAAAUCUUUAGAAUCUAAAUCCAGUUUUAGAUCUGGUAAAAUUUAUUGGUAAGUAUCCGGAUCCAAUUGGAUACUAGAAUUUGUAUCUGAAUCCAAUCCAAAUUGAGUAUGGUUGGAAAUUAUCCAACCUGUUUUCAGCCCUAUCCUUUGGACUCAUUACCUUACUGUUUUGGCUCUCUGAUGAUUUGCCUGGAGAGGAAGGAAUUGGCAAAAUUUUUGUCAGUGUCAUCAACUGAAGACUUAAUCAAGGAUGAUGAGUGCUAUCAACUUGAGUCCUAGUAACGACCAAGAUAUUUCAAUUUCUUGCUUUCUUAAUUUACUUUUGACUCUUGGAUUGCUUGUAUUCAUUUCAGUACCCAUGAAAUGAAUUAAUGGUCCCUGCCAUCUUCUCUUUCAAAAAAGAAGGCCAAAAAUUUCUGCUAUAGGUCUUCAGGUGAGUUAUAGGUCCAAAGAAGAGUUUUUAAAGAAAACAACAUACUAGUUCUAUAACAGAAAUUGGGAUCACAAAUUUUAUGUUUCUGUAUGAAACAAAAUUCGUGAAGCAAGGGAGAAAUAUGAGAGAGAGAGAAGAAGGGUCAAACCUGACCUAAAGCAAUCCUUUCUUUCUUUCAACAGCCACAUACAAUGCUUUCAUCCAGCGACCUCUCUUACAAGCAAACUAGGAUUCUUCAAAUUGGAAAGUACCUAGAGAAAUCAGCUACCACCUAUUCAUUUCACUCCAAUUAAAAUCCCUAGAACCAUGCUUUACAUUUUAUCUAAGAUUUUCUAGCUGGGCACUAAUGAGACCUAACUAAAACUCCUAAAUGAAAAGUCAUGUAUGCUGUUCACUUUUAACAGUAUUGUAGCAUGUACAGUGCCAAACAGUAGAUUCGUUUUCUUACAAAGAAACACUUCAAUUAAUUAUUACAUACUAAAACAAUUCAAAAUAGUUGUUUUUUUUUUUGUCAUCUUGACCUCUAAAUAGCAACCAGUCACAACAUAUGCCAUGGAUAUGGACCCAAAGAAAUGCUCCAGCAUCAUUUGCUUCUGUUAUGCAUACCUAGUCCUCAAGAUCAUAUCCCUCAAAAUUUUGAUCGACCAUUCUGAGUCUUGAACAUUGGAUGAUAGAGGCCUAUGUAGAACAUUCUCCCUAUCACUUCACUAAUCAUUGUUGUGGUGCCUGACAAUUGGUAACUAUGAAUCUUUUGAUAACUUGAUUGAUAGUGUUUACCAAGGAAACUGCAGAAUUAGCAAGGAUCAUAUCUUCAACUUGCUUUGAUACAGUUAUAGCUCUUAAUUGGUGUUGCUUUCAGCAAUUAGAAAUUCCUUUAAAAUUCUAUAGAGCCUUCAAUCUUCUUAACCAGAUU